GACGAACGCUGGCGGCGUGCCUAAUACAUGCAAGUCGAGCGCAGGAAACUGACGGAACUCUUCGGAGGGAAGGCAGCGGAAUGAGCGGCGGACGGGUGAGUAACACGUAAGGAACCUGCCUCAAGGAUUGGGAUAACUCCGAGAAAUCGGAGCUAAUACCGGAUAGUUCAACGGACCGCAUGGUCCGUUGAUGAAAGGCGCUCCGGCGUCACCUUGAGAUGGCCUUGCGGUGCAUUAGCUAGUUGGUGGGGUAACGGCCCACCAAGGCGACGAUGCAUAGCGGACCUGAGAGGGUGAUCGGCCACACUGGGACUGAGACACGGCCCAGACUCUUACGGGAGGCAGCAGUAGGGAAUCUUCCACAAUGGACGAAAGUCUGAUGGAGCAACGCCGCGUGAGUGAUGAAGGUUUUCGGAUCGUAAAACUCUGUUGUAAGGGAAGAACACGUACGAGAGGAAAUGCUCGUACCUUGACGGUACCUUACGAGAAAGCCACGGCUAACUACGUGCCAGCAGCCGCAGUAA
RNAcentral lists this ribosomal RNA (524 nucleotides) under uncultured bacterium. RNAcentral's name for it is "partial 16S ribosomal RNA". It matches the Rfam family "Bacterial small subunit ribosomal RNA", at positions 28 to 523 of the family's 1533-position model. The record is from RNAcentral.